This 252-nucleotide ribosomal RNA is filed under the name uncultured bacterium. RNAcentral's name for it is "partial 16S ribosomal RNA". It matches the Rfam family "Bacterial small subunit ribosomal RNA", at positions 524 to 776 of the family's 1533-position model. The record is from RNAcentral.
UACGUAGGGUGCAAGCGUUGUCCGGAAUUAUUGGGCGUAAAGAGCUUGUAGGCGGUUUGUCGCGUCUGCUGUGAAAUUUCGGGGCUCAACCCCGAACUUGCAGUGGGUACGGGCAGACUAGAGUGUGGUAGGGGAGACUGGAAUUCCUGGUGUAGCGGUGAAAUGCGCAGAUAUCAGGAGGAACACCGAUGGCGAAGGCAGGUCUCUGGGCCACUACUGACGUGAGAAGCGAAAGCAUGGGGAGCGAACAGG